RNAcentral lists this long non-coding RNA (202 nucleotides) under Phascolarctos cinereus (koala). RNAcentral describes it as "lncRNA (ENSPCIG00000024337.2)". Lineage: Eukaryota; Metazoa; Chordata; Mammalia; Diprotodontia; Phascolarctidae. The record is from RNAcentral.
GGCGAGAAGGAUGUGGAUGCUUUCAAAUCCAUUCAAUAAUGAGUUCCCCAGCUUCCAAAAACACAAAGAAGAUUAAGGAGCACAAUUGUGCUGAGAAUCAGGGGCAGAACUUAGAAGAGAAGAGGAAGAGAGAGAAGAGAGGACCAAAAUAUCCAUUUUACAAAUGGUAGGGGUGGGCGGGGUGGGGUGGUCAACCAUUUAA